Molecule: ribosomal RNA, 501 nt
Filed under: uncultured bacterium
Lineage: Bacteria
Description: partial 16S ribosomal RNA
Rfam family: Bacterial small subunit ribosomal RNA
Source: RNAcentral
AUUGAACGCUGGCGGCAGGCUUAACACAUGCAAGUCGAGCGGAGCGAGGGUGCUUGCACCUUAGCUUAGCGGCGGACGGGUGAGUAAUGCUUAGGAAUCUGCCUAUUAGUGGGGGACAACAUUCCGAAAGGAAUGCUAAUACCGCAUACGCCCUACGGGGGAAAGCAGGGGAUCUUCGGACCUUGCGCUAAUAGAUGAGCCUAAGUCGGAUUAGCUAGUUGGUGGGGUAAAGGCCUACCAAGGCGACGAUCUGUAGCGGGUCUGAGAGAAUGAUCCGCCACACUGGGACUGAGCCACGGCCCAGACUCCUACGGGAGGCAGCAGUGGGGAAUAUUGGACAAUGGGCGGAAGCCUGAUCCAGCCAUGCCGCGUGUGUGAAGAAGGCCUUUUGGUUGUAAAGCACUUUAAGCGAGGAGGAGGCUACUUAGAUUAAUACUCUGGGAUAGUGGACGUUACUCGCAGAAUAAGCACCGGCUAACUCUGUGCCAGCAGCCGCCGUAA